This 253-nucleotide ribosomal RNA is filed under the name uncultured bacterium. RNAcentral's name for it is "partial 16S ribosomal RNA". It matches the Rfam family "Bacterial small subunit ribosomal RNA", at positions 524 to 776 of the family's 1533-position model. The record is from RNAcentral.
UACGUAGGGGGCUAGCGUUGUCCGGAAUCAUUGGGCGUAAAGCGCGCGCAGGCGGUCCUUUAAGUCUGAUGUGAAAGCCCACGGCUCAACCGUGGAGGGUCAUUGGAAACUGGGGGACUUGAGUACAGAAGAGAAGAGUGGAAUUCCACGUGUAGCGGUGAAAUGCGUAGAGAUGUGGAGGAACACCAGUGGCGAAGGCGACUCUUUGGUCUGUAACUGACGCUGAGGCGCGAAAGCGUGGGGAGCAAACAGG